Molecule: non-coding RNA, 137 nt
Organism: Triticum aestivum (bread wheat)
Lineage: Eukaryota; Viridiplantae; Streptophyta; Magnoliopsida; Poales; Poaceae
Source: Rfam
UGUGUACUCCCUCCGUCCCAAAAUACCUGACUUCCAAAUUGUCCAAAAAUGGAUGUACCUAUAUACAAAAACAUGUCUAGAUACAUCUCUAUUUUGACAAAUAGAAGGCAUGUAUUGUGGAACGGAGGGAGUAGAAU